AUUGAACGCUGGCGGCAGGCCUAACACAUGCAAGUCGAGCGGAUGAAGGGAGCUUGCUCCUGGAUUCAGCGGCGGACGGGUGAGUAAUGCCUAGGAAUCUGCCUUGUAGUUGGGGAUAACGUCCGGAAACGGGCGCUAAUACCGCAUCCGUCCUGAUGGAGAAAGUGGGGGAUCUUCGGACCUCACGCUAUAAGAUGACCCUAGGUCGGAUUAGCUAGUUGGUGGGGUAAAGGCUUACCAAGGCGACGAUCCGUAACUGCUCUGAGAGGAUGAUCAGUCACACUGGAACUGAGACACGGUCCAGACUCCUACGGGAGGCAGCAGUGGGGAAUAUUGGGCAAUGGGCGAAAGCCUGAUCCAGCCAUGCCGCGUGUGUGAAGAAGGUCUUCGGAUUGUAAAGCACUUUAAGUUGGGAGGAAGGGCAGUAAGUUAAUACCUUGCUGUUUUGACGUUACCUAAAGAAUAAGCACCGGCUAACUUCGUG
This 484-nucleotide ribosomal RNA is filed under the name uncultured bacterium. Its description in RNAcentral is "partial 16S ribosomal RNA". It matches the Rfam family "Bacterial small subunit ribosomal RNA", at positions 30 to 507 of the family's 1533-position model. The record is from RNAcentral.